This 121-nucleotide small RNA is filed under the name Marmota monax (woodchuck). The record is from RNAcentral. Lineage: Eukaryota; Metazoa; Chordata; Mammalia; Rodentia; Sciuridae.
GCUGGGCACAGUGGAGCAUGCCUAUAAUCCCAGCAGCUUGGGAGGCUGAGACAGGAGAAUCACUCAAAGCCAACCUCAGCAAUGUCAAGGCACUAAGCAACUCAAUGAGACUCUGUCUCUA